AUGGUAGGAUCACAAGCUGAUGAGACUGAUUGGGAGAACCUGACAAACAAACAGCUACAUGAUAAAUUUCAGCAAAUGAUGAGUGGACAGGUGCAAGAUGUGCUAAACAGAUUUGACGAGGCCAUGGAGAAGAUAGAUGGCAUUGAGAAGACGUUCAAAACAAAGCUUGAUAGCAAGUUCAAUGAAUUCCUCGCGCGUUUUCCACAACCACCGCCGGCUGCACCUAUCGCACCUCUGCAACAACAACAACAACGCCCCCUUCCUAAUCAGUAUGGACGAGCGAAGCGUGUUCCUCUUAAGGGUGGCCAAACUUCUGGUGCUACUGUACCUGUUGUUGAUGCUUCUUUGGCUCCUGCUACUGCUGUUGCUGGUACCCAGGAGGAUGAUGAGUAUGCGGGCGAUUAUGAGGAUGAGGUUGAUCAAAAUCAGAACUACGUGCAGCCACCAGCACCACCACCAGCAGGUCGACCUCAGGUAUUUAUUCGCAAUGGUAGGCCUGCACCACCACCUCAGGUACGUGAUCAUGACCAUGUUCCUAAACUGAAAUUGAAUAUUCCACCAUUUGAGGGUAGAUAUGUUCCUUAUAUAUAUCUUACUUGGGAGUUAGAAACUGAACAACGUUUUACAUGUUUGCAAUAUCCCGAGGAGAGACGGGUUGUUGCUGCUGUUUGUGCUUUCACUAGUUUUGCAUGUGUAUGGUGGUCUGAACAUUGUAGAUUAUAUCCUAUUCCAGCUACUUGGGCUGCUUUGAAAACUGCUAUGCGUACUCGUUGGGUUCCACCAUAUUAUCAACGUGAAUUGCUUCAAAAAUUGCAACGUUUGAGACAAUGA
RNAcentral lists this ribosomal RNA (831 nucleotides) under Triticum aestivum (bread wheat). RNAcentral describes it as "partial small subunit ribosomal RNA". Lineage: Eukaryota; Viridiplantae; Streptophyta; Magnoliopsida; Poales; Poaceae. The record is from RNAcentral.